Molecule: ribosomal RNA, 2904 nt
Filed under: Escherichia coli 2-052-05_S4_C3
Lineage: Bacteria; Pseudomonadati; Pseudomonadota; Gammaproteobacteria; Enterobacterales; Enterobacteriaceae
Description: bacterial LSU rRNA
Rfam family: Bacterial large subunit ribosomal RNA
Source: RNAcentral
UUAAGCGACUAAGCGUACACGGUGGAUGCCCUGGCAGUCAGAGGCGAUGAAGGACGUGCUAAUCUGCGAUAAGCGUCGGUAAGGUGAUAUGAACCGUUAUAACCGGCGAUUUCCGAAUGGGGAAACCCAGUGUGUUUCGACACACUAUCAUUAACUGAAUCCAUAGGUUAAUGAGGCGAACCGGGGGAACUGAAACAUCUAAGUACCCCGAGGAAAAGAAAUCAACCGAGAUUCCCCCAGUAGCGGCGAGCGAACGGGGAGCAGCCCAGAGCCUGAAUCAGUGUGUGUGUUAGUGGAAGCGUCUGGAAAGGCGCGCGAUACAGGGUGACAGCCCCGUACACAAAAAUGCACAUGCUGUGAGCUCGAUGAGUAGGGCGGGACACGUGGUAUCCUGUCUGAAUAUGGGGGGACCAUCCUCCAAGGCUAAAUACUCCUGACUGACCGAUAGUGAACCAGUACCGUGAGGGAAAGGCGAAAAGAACCCCGGCGAGGGGAGUGAAAAAGAACCUGAAACCGUGUACGUACAAGCAGUGGGAGCACGCUUCGGCGUGUGACUGCGUACCUUUUGUAUAAUGGGUCAGCGACUUAUAUUCUGUAGCAAGGUUAACCGAAUAGGGGAGCCGAAGGGAAACCGAGUCUUAACUGGGCGUUAAGUUGCAGGGUAUAGACCCGAAACCCGGUGAUCUAGCCAUGGGCAGGUUGAAGGUUGGGUAACACUAACUGGAGGACCGAACCGACUAAUGUUGAAAAAUUAGCGGAUGACUUGUGGCUGGGGGUGAAAGGCCAAUCAAACCGGGAGAUAGCUGGUUCUCCCCGAAAGCUAUUUAGGUAGCGCCUCGUGAAUUCAUCUCCGGGGGUAGAGCACUGUUUCGGCAAGGGGGUCAUCCCGACUUACCAACCCGAUGCAAACUGCGAAUACCGGAGAAUGUUAUCACGGGAGACACACGGCGGGUGCUAACGUCCGUCGUGAAGAGGGAAACAACCCAGACCGCCAGCUAAGGUCCCAAAGUCAUGGUUAAGUGGGAAACGAUGUGGGAAGGCCCAGACAGCCAGGAUGUUGGCUUAGAAGCAGCCAUCAUUUAAAGAAAGCGUAAUAGCUCACUGGUCGAGUCGGCCUGCGCGGAAGAUGUAACGGGGCUAAACCAUGCACCGAAGCUGCGGCAGCGACGCUUAUGCGUUGUUGGGUAGGGGAGCGUUCUGUAAGCCUGCGAAGGUGUGCUGUGAGGCAUGCUGGAGGUAUCAGAAGUGCGAAUGCUGACAUAAGUAACGAUAAAGCGGGUGAAAAGCCCGCUCGCCGGAAGACCAAGGGUUCCUGUCCAACGUUAAUCGGGGCAGGGUGAGUCGACCCCUAAGGCGAGGCCGAAAGGCGUAGUCGAUGGGAAACAGGUUAAUAUUCCUGUACUUGGUGUUACUGCGAAGGGGGGACGGAGAAGGCUAUGUUGGCCGGGCGACGGUUGUCCCGGUUUAAGCGUGUAGGCUGGUUUUCCAGGCAAAUCCGGAAAAUCAAGGCUGAGGCGUGAUGACGAGGCACUACGGUGCUGAAGCAACAAAUGCCCUGCUUCCAGGAAAAGCCUCUAAGCAUCAGGUAACAUCAAAUCGUACCCCAAACCGACACAGGUGGUCAGGUAGAGAAUACCAAGGCGCUUGAGAGAACUCGGGUGAAGGAACUAGGCAAAAUGGUGCCGUAACUUCGGGAGAAGGCACGCUGAUAUGUAGGUGAAGUCCCUUGCGGAUGGAGCUGAAAUCAGUCGAAGAUACCAGCUGGCUGCAACUGUUUAUUAAAAACACAGCACUGUGCAAACACGAAAGUGGACGUAUACGGUGUGACGCCUGCCCGGUGCCGGAAGGUUAAUUGAUGGGGUUAGCCGCAAGGCGAAGCUCUUGAUCGAAGCCCCGGUAAACGGCGGCCGUAACUAUAACGGUCCUAAGGUAGCGAAAUUCCUUGUCGGGUAAGUUCCGACCUGCACGAAUGGCGUAAUGAUGGCCAGGCUGUCUCCACCCGAGACUCAGUGAAAUUGAACUCGCUGUGAAGAUGCAGUGUACCCGCGGCAAGACGGAAAGACCCCGUGAACCUUUACUAUAGCUUGACACUGAACAUUGAGCCUUGAUGUGUAGGAUAGGUGGGAGGCUUUGAAGUGUGGACGCCAGUCUGCAUGGAGCCGACCUUGAAAUACCACCCUUUAAUGUUUGAUGUUCUAACGUUGACCCGUAAUCCGGGUUGCGGACAGUGUCUGGUGGGUAGUUUGACUGGGGCGGUCUCCUCCUAAAGAGUAACGGAGGAGCACGAAGGUUGGCUAAUCCUGGUCGGACAUCAGGAGGUUAGUGCAAUGGCAUAAGCCAGCUUGACUGCGAGCGUGACGGCGCGAGCAGGUGCGAAAGCAGGUCAUAGUGAUCCGGUGGUUCUGAAUGGAAGGGCCAUCGCUCAACGGAUAAAAGGUACUCCGGGGAUAACAGGCUGAUACCGCCCAAGAGUUCAUAUCGACGGCGGUGUUUGGCACCUCGAUGUCGGCUCAUCACAUCCUGGGGCUGAAGUAGGUCCCAAGGGUAUGGCUGUUCGCCAUUUAAAGUGGUACGCGAGCUGGGUUUAGAACGUCGUGAGACAGUUCGGUCCCUAUCUGCCGUGGGCGCUGGAGAACUGAGGGGGGCUGCUCCUAGUACGAGAGGACCGGAGUGGACGCAUCACUGGUGUUCGGGUUGUCAUGCCAAUGGCACUGCCCGGUAGCUAAAUGCGGAAGAGAUAAGUGCUGAAAGCAUCUAAGCACGAAACUUGCCCCGAGAUGAGUUCUCCCUGACCCUUUAAGGGUCCUGAAGGAACGUUGAAGACGACGACGUUGAUAGGCCGGGUGUGUAAGCGCAGCGAUGCGUUGAGCUAACCGGUACUAAUGAACCGUGAGGCUUAACCUU